Molecule: non-coding RNA, 47 nt
Organism: Taeniopygia guttata (zebra finch)
Lineage: Eukaryota; Metazoa; Chordata; Aves; Passeriformes; Estrildidae
Source: Rfam
UCAAAGGUUUUCUUAGAAACCAUUCCUGAAGAUCAAGUGGAUUUUAU